RNAcentral lists this ribosomal RNA (456 nucleotides) under Triticum aestivum (bread wheat). RNAcentral describes it as "partial small subunit ribosomal RNA". The record is from RNAcentral. Lineage: Eukaryota; Viridiplantae; Streptophyta; Magnoliopsida; Poales; Poaceae.
AUGAGCUUCUACAGCCUGCCUGAGACUCUGCACCAUGAGAUUGGUUCGAUCCAGGAACACUUCUUUUGGGCAGGCGAGGGGGACAAGCAGAAAUAUCACAUGGUCCGCUGGCCUGACAUCUGCAAACCUCGCAACCAAGGCGGCCUCGGUAUUAUGUCCUCCAAACGCAUGAACAUUGCCCUCCUGACGCGUUGGCUAUGGCGGAUUGCCAAUGGUGAGGGCGGUCUUUGGCUACAGAUCAUUCGGAACAAAUACCUGCGCGGACAACCUCUAGCUUUUGCCAGAGGGCGGGAGGCUCCCAAUUCUGGCAAUCCAUCAUCCAGCUGCUCCUGCUCCUCCGGAUUGGGACUUCCAUCGCUGUGGGAAUGGGAUCAACCACAUUAUUCUGGUUCGAUAGAUGGGCGGGUGAAUCUCCCUUUGCGGCUCGCUUCCCGGACUUGUUCGCCGUCACUGUAG